RNAcentral lists this ribosomal RNA (254 nucleotides) under uncultured bacterium. RNAcentral describes it as "partial 16S ribosomal RNA". It matches the Rfam family "Bacterial small subunit ribosomal RNA", at positions 524 to 776 of the family's 1533-position model. The record is from RNAcentral.
UACGUAGGAUGCGAGCGUUGUCCGGAAUUACUGGGCGUAAAGAGCGCGUAGGCGGCGCUGUACGACCGCGGUGAAAGCCCCCGGCUCAACUGGGGAGGGUCCGUGGUAACGGCAGUGCUCUGAGUGCAGGAGAGGGAAGUGGAACUCCGGGAGUAGCGGUGAAAUGCGCAGAUAUCAGGAGGAACACCAAUGGCGAAGGCAGCUCGCUGGGACGGUACUGACGCUGAGACGCGAAAGCGUGGGGAGCAAACAGG